AUGCGCAGGGGGAAGCGGGGGGAGAGGACGGCGUCUCACCGAGGUCAGGAAAGCGGAGCGGGGUGCCGCCACCGCCACCGGGCCCAAACCGCUGCAACCGACCCUCCCAGCCCCUCGCCGCCUUCAGCCGGGCCGUUAACGGCCCGUUACCGCCCGCCCCCCUCCUCCGCCGCGACCCCGCACCUGGCAGGCGGCGGCGCGGGCCCGGCUCAGGCGGCGCGGGGCGGGGGGCGGCUCGGCAUGGCGCGGCCCCUCCGCCGCACCGGGCCGGGCCGGGGCCCCUCCGCUCCGAUGCGCUCCGGUACCGGGCCGGGCCGCGGAGCCGAACCCGCGGCCGGAAGCGCCUCGCGCCGCCGGGCGGUCCCGGGACCGCCCCCGUCCCGUCCCGUCCUUCCCCCCCCCCCCGCUCCCCCCGCACGUCACGGCGGCCGCAGUGGCGUCACCGGGAGCGGCGCCGCCGUGGCGUCACCGGGGGCGGGCGCGCGCCCACGUGGGAGGGGGAUCCCCGCCCCCGGCGGGGUCAGGGCGGGGGGAAUCCCCACGCGGGGACGCCCCCCCACCCCCGGCUCCGGGACCCCCGGUUUCCCCCGGGGCUCCCCCAGCCCGCACCGGCACCCCCCGGGAACGUUCCCCCGCCCCGUUCCCCCCCCCCGCGCUCUCUCGUCCGUUCCCCCCUCGCUCCCCGCAGCCCCGCUCGACCCCCCGAGAACGGCGGCGCAGCGGGACCGCGAGCCCUGCCGGGCACCGGGGCUCCCCGGUUCGGCCGCGGGGGCACCGGCCCCCCCCGGCUCCCCCCGGUCCCCGGGAUCCCCGGUGACGUCACGUGGCACCGGCCGGGCCGCGCUGCGCAGGGCCCGGGGGCGACACCGGCUCCGGGGGCGGCGGGGGGAGAAGGGGGUCCCGGUGCGGGGGGGCUGUCCCGGUGCGGCCGCAGUGGAAGGGAGGGGGGGUGUCCCUUCCCGGUGCGGGGCAGCGGAGCCCGGUGCGGGGGUUCCCCGCCUGUUGGAGGCUCCCGGGGGGUUGGGGAGGUCCCGGUACAGAGUCGGGCCUCCCGGUGCAGCUGGCCCGGUCUCAGGGGGUCCCGGUGCAGAUCCGGGGGUCCCUAUACAGCCAUCCCCAGCCCCGUAG
This 1128-nucleotide long non-coding RNA is filed under the name Taeniopygia guttata (zebra finch). RNAcentral describes it as "lncRNA (ENSTGUG00000022585.1)". Lineage: Eukaryota; Metazoa; Chordata; Aves; Passeriformes; Estrildidae. The record is from RNAcentral.